GACGAACGCUGGCGGCGUGCCUAAUACAUGCAAGUCGAACGCAGUGGGGACGGGUGAGUAACACGUGGGUAACCUCCCAUCAGAGGGGAUAACAAUUGGAAACAGGUGCUAAACCGAUACUGGUGGAUGGACCCGCGGUGCAUGAGCUAGUUGGUGAGGGAACGGCCAACCAAGGCCACGAUGCAUAGCCGACCUGAGAGGGUGAUCGGCCACACUGGUACUGAGACACGGCCCAGCCUCCUACGGUAGGCAGCAGUGGGGAAUAUUGCACAAUGGGCGCAAGCCUGAUGCAGCCAUGCCGCGUGUAUGAAGAAGGCCUUAGGUUUGUAAAGUACUUUCAGUCGGGAGGCGUUACCGACAGAAGAAGCACCGGCUAACUCCGUGCCAGCAGCCGCGGUAAUUC
RNAcentral lists this ribosomal RNA (403 nucleotides) under uncultured bacterium. RNAcentral describes it as "partial 16S ribosomal RNA". It matches the Rfam family "Bacterial small subunit ribosomal RNA", at positions 28 to 526 of the family's 1533-position model. The record is from RNAcentral.